CGCGUAGGCGGCCACCGCAAGUCAAUUGUGAAAUCUCCGGGCUUAACUCGGAAAGGUCAACUGAUACUGCGGGGCUAGAGUGCAGAAGGGGCAACUGGAAUUCUCGGUGUAGCGGUGAAAUGCGUAGAUAUCGAGAGGAACACCUGCGGCGAAGGCGGGUUGCUGGGCUGACACUGACGCUGAUGCGCGAAAGCUAGGGGAGCGAACG
RNAcentral lists this ribosomal RNA (208 nucleotides) under uncultured bacterium. RNAcentral's name for it is "partial 16S ribosomal RNA". It matches the Rfam family "Bacterial small subunit ribosomal RNA", at positions 568 to 774 of the family's 1533-position model. The record is from RNAcentral.